CCUACGGGAGGCAGCAGUGAGGAAUAUUGGUCAAUGGGCGCGAGCCUGAACCAGCCAAGUAGCGUGAAGGAUGACUGCCCUACGGGUUGUAAACUUCUUUUAUAAAGGAAUAAAGUGAGGCACGUGUGCCUUUUUGUAUGUACUUUAUGAAUAAGGAUCGGCUAACUCCGUGCCAGCAGCCGCGGUAAUACGGAGGAUCCGAGCGUUAUCCGGAUUUAUUGGGGUUAAAGGGAGCGUAGAUGGGUUGUUAAGUCAGUUGUGAAAGUUUGCGGCUCAACCGUAAAAGUGCAAUUGAUACUGGCAGCCUUGAGUACAGUUGAGGUAGGCGGAAUUCGUGGUGUAGCGGUGAAAUGCUUAGAUAUCACGAAGAACUCCGAUUGCGAAGGCAGCCUACUAAACUGCCACUGACAUUGAUGCUCGAAAGUGUGGGGAUCAAACAGGAUUAGAUACCCCUGUAGUC
Molecule: ribosomal RNA, 460 nt
Filed under: uncultured bacterium
Lineage: Bacteria
Description: partial 16S ribosomal RNA
Rfam family: Bacterial small subunit ribosomal RNA
Source: RNAcentral